AUUGAACGCUGGCGGCAUGCCUUACACAUGCAAGUCGAACGGUAACAGGUUAAGCUGACGAGUGGCGAACGGGUGAGUAAUAUAUCGGAACGUGCCCAGUCGUGGGGGAUAACUGCUCGAAAGAGCAGCUAAUACCGCAUACGACCUGAGGGUGAAAGCGGGGGAUCGCAAGACCUCGCGCGAUUGGAGCGGCCGAUAUCAGAUUAGCUAGUUGGUGGGGUAAAAGCCUACCAAGGCAACGAUCUGUAGCUGGUCUGAGAGGACGACCAGCCACACUGGGACGGAGACACGGCCCAGACUCCUACGGGAGGCAGCAGUGGGGAAUUUUGGACAAUGGACGAAAGUCUGAUCCAGCCAUGCCGCGUGCGGGAAGAAGGCCUUCGGGUUGUAAACCGCUUUUGUCAGGGAAGAAAAGGUUCUGGUUGAUACCUGGGACUCAUGACGGUACCUGAAGAAUAAGCACCGGCUAACUACGUGCCAGCCGCCGCCGUAA
This 493-nucleotide ribosomal RNA is filed under the name uncultured bacterium. RNAcentral describes it as "partial 16S ribosomal RNA". It matches the Rfam family "Bacterial small subunit ribosomal RNA", at positions 30 to 523 of the family's 1533-position model. The record is from RNAcentral.